This 253-nucleotide unclassified non-coding RNA is filed under the name uncultured Bacillaceae bacterium. RNAcentral describes it as "contains 16S-23S intergenic spacer region". It matches the Rfam family "Bacterial small subunit ribosomal RNA", at positions 524 to 776 of the family's 1533-position model. The record is from RNAcentral. Lineage: Bacteria; Bacillati; Bacillota; Bacilli; Caryophanales; Bacillaceae.
UACGUAGGUGGCAAGCGUUGUCCGGAAUUAUUGGGCGUAAAGCGCGCGCAGGCGGUUUCGUCAGUCCGAUGUGACAGGCCACGGCUCAACCGUGGAAGGCCAUUGGAAACUGCGAAACUUGAGGACAGAAGAGGAGAGUGGAAUUCCACGUGUAGCGGUGAAAUGCGUAGAUAUGUGGAGGAACACCAGUGGCGAAGGCGACUCUCUGGUCUGUACCUGACGCUGAGGCGCGAGAGCGUGGGGAGCGAACCGG